RNAcentral lists this ribosomal RNA (465 nucleotides) under uncultured bacterium. RNAcentral describes it as "partial 16S ribosomal RNA". It matches the Rfam family "Bacterial small subunit ribosomal RNA", at positions 28 to 507 of the family's 1533-position model. The record is from RNAcentral.
GACGAACGCUGGCGGCGUGCUUAACACAUGCAAGUCGAGCGGUAAGGCCCCUUCGGGGGUACACGAGCGGCGAACGGGUGCGUAACACGUGAGCAAUCUGCCCAUCACAUCGGGAUAACUCCGGGAAACCGAAGCUAAUACCGAAUACGACCACCUCCGGCAUCGGAUGGUGGUGGAAAGUUCCGGCGGUGAUGGAUGAGCUCGCGGCCUAUCAGCUUGUUGGUGGGGUAACGGCACACCAAGGCUUCGACGGGUAGCCGGCCUGAGAGGGGGACCGGCCACACUGGGACUGAGACACGGCCCAGACUCCUACGGGAGGCAGCAGUGGGGAAUAUUGGACAAUGGGCGAAAGCCUGAUCCAGCAACGCCGCGUGAGGGAUGACGGCCUUCGGGUUGUAAACCUCUUUCAGCAGGGACGAAGCGAAAGUGACGGUACCUGCAGAAGAAGCACCGGCCAACUACGUG